Molecule: ribosomal RNA, 460 nt
Filed under: uncultured bacterium
Lineage: Bacteria
Description: partial 16S ribosomal RNA
Rfam family: Bacterial small subunit ribosomal RNA
Source: RNAcentral
CCUACGGGGGGCUGCAGUGAGGAAUAUUGGUCAAUGGGCGCGAGCCUGAACCAGCCAAGUCGCGUGAGGGAUGACGGCCCUACGGGUUGUAAACCUCUUUUGCCGGGGAGCAACGGGCGCCACGUGUGGCGCCACUGAGAGUACCCGGAGAAAAAGCAUCGGCUAACUCCGUGCCAGCAGCCGCGGUAAUACGGAGGAUGCGAGCGUUAUCCGGAUUUAUUGGGUUUAAAGGGUGCGUAGGCGGAGGUGCAAGUCAGCGGUAAAAUUGCGGGGCUCAACCCCGUACUGACGUUGAAACUGCAUCCCUUGAGUGCGCGAGAAGUAUGCGGAAUGCGUGGUGGAGCGGUGAAAUGCAGAGAUAUCACGCAGAACUCCGAUGGCGAAGGCAGCAUACCGGCGCGCAACUGACGCUCAUGCACGAAAGCGUGGGUAUCGAACAGGAUUAGAUACCCCAGUAGUC